Molecule: non-coding RNA, 21 nt
Filed under: Caenorhabditis elegans
Lineage: Eukaryota; Metazoa; Nematoda; Chromadorea; Rhabditida; Rhabditidae
Source: RNAcentral
UCACCUUUUACCUGUUUUGAA